AUUGAACGCUGGCGGCAGGCCUAACACAUGCAAGUCGAACGGUAACAGGAAGCAGCUUGCUGCUUUGCUGACGAGUGGCGGACGGGUGAGUAAUGUCUGGGAAACUGCCUGAUGGAGGGGGAUAACUACUGGAAACGGUAGCUAAUACCGCAUAACGUCGCAAGACCAAAGAGGGGGACCUUCGGGCCUCUUGCCAUCGGAUGUGCCCAGAUGGGAUUAGCAAGUAGGUGGGGUAACGGCUCACCUAGGCGACGAUCCCUAGCUGGUCUGAGAGGAUGACCAGCCACACUGGAACUGAGACACGGUCCAGACUCCUACGGGAGGCAGCAGUGGGGAAUAUUGCACAAUGGGCGCAAGCCUGAUGCAGCCAUGCCGCGUGUAUGAAGAAGGCCUUCGGGUUGUAAAGUACUUUCAGCGGGGAGGAAGGGAGUAAAGUUAAUACCUUUGCUCAUUGACGUUACCCGCAGAAGAAGCACCGGCUAACUCCGUG
Molecule: ribosomal RNA, 490 nt
Filed under: uncultured bacterium
Lineage: Bacteria
Description: partial 16S ribosomal RNA
Rfam family: Bacterial small subunit ribosomal RNA
Source: RNAcentral